This 607-nucleotide ribosomal RNA is filed under the name uncultured bacterium. Its description in RNAcentral is "bacterial SSU rRNA". It matches the Rfam family "Bacterial small subunit ribosomal RNA", at positions 331 to 929 of the family's 1533-position model. The record is from RNAcentral.
CCAGACUCCUACGGGAGGCAGCAGUGGGGAAUCUUCCGCAAUGGGCGCAAGCCUGACGGAGCAACGCCGCGUGAGUGAAGAAGGUCUUCGGAUCGUAAAGCUCUGUUGACGGGGACGAACGUGCGAAGGGUGAAUAAUCCUUUGUAAUGACGGUACCUGUCGAGGAAGCCACGGCUAACUACGUGCCAGCAGCCGCGGUAAUACGUAGGUGGCGAGCGUUGUCCGGAAUCAUUGGGCGUAAAGGGAGCGCAGGCGGGCAUGUAAGUCUUUCUUAAAAGUGCGGGGCUCAACCCCGUGAUGGGAAAGAAACUACAUGUCUUGAGUACAGGAGAGGAAAGCGGAAUUCCCAGUGUAGCGGUGAAAUGCGUAGAUAUUGGGAGGAACACCAGUGGCGAAGGCGGCUUUCUGGACUGCAACUGACGCUGAGGCUCGAAAGCCAGGGGAGCGAACGGGAUUAGAUACCCCGGUAGUCCUGGCCGUAAACGAUGGAUACUAGGUGUGGGAGGUAUCGACCCCUACCGUGCCGGAGUUAACGCAAUAAGUAUCCCGCCUGGGGAGUACGGUCGCAAGACUGAAACUCAAAGGAAUUGACGGGGGCCCGCACAAG